RNAcentral lists this ribosomal RNA (514 nucleotides) under uncultured bacterium. Its description in RNAcentral is "bacterial SSU rRNA". It matches the Rfam family "Bacterial small subunit ribosomal RNA", at positions 32 to 521 of the family's 1533-position model. The record is from RNAcentral.
AAUCAACGCUGGCGGCGUGCCUCAGACAUGCAAGUCGAACGCGAAAGUCCCCUUCGGGGGAUGAGUAGAGUGGCGCACGGGUGAGUAACACGUAGGUAAUCUACCUUCGGGUGGGGAAUAACAACUGGAAACGGUUGCUAAUACCGCAUAAUGCAGCGGCACCUAAUGGUGACAGUUGUUAAAGCGGGGGAUCGCAAGACCUCGCGCCUGAAGAGGAGCCUGCGGCGGAUUAGCUAGUUGGCAGGGUAACGGCCUACCAAGGCGACGAUCCGUAGCCGGCCUGAGAGGGCGGUCGGCCACACUGACACUGACAUACGGGUCAGACUCCUACGGGAGGCAGCAGUCGGGAAUUUUGGGCAAUGGGCGAAAGCCUGACCCAGCAACGCCGCGUGAAGGAUGAAAUCCCUCGGGAUGUAAACUUCGCAAGAACGGGGAGAAUAAGCCGGUGUCAACACCACCGGCGAUGACGGUACCGUUUGUAAGCUCCGGCUAACUCCGUGCCAGCAGCCGCGGU